This 349-nucleotide ribosomal RNA is filed under the name uncultured bacterium. RNAcentral describes it as "partial 16S ribosomal RNA". It matches the Rfam family "Bacterial small subunit ribosomal RNA", at positions 338 to 701 of the family's 1533-position model. The record is from RNAcentral.
CCUACGGGCGGCAGCAGUGAGGAAUAUUGGUCAAUGGACGAGAGUCUGCACCAGCCAAGUAGCGUGAAGGAUGACUGCCCUAUGGGUUGUAAACUUCUUUUGACAGGGAAGAGCAGAAGACGGUACCUGUCGAAUAAGCCACGGCUAACUACGUGCCAGCAGCCGCGGUAAUACGUAGGUGGCAAGCGUUGUGCGGAUUGACUGGAUGCAAAGGGCGUGUAGCCGGGCUGACAAGUCAGAUGUGAAAUCCGGGGGCUCAACCCCCGAACUGCAUUUGAAACUGUUGGUCUUGAGUGUCGGAGAGGACGGCGGAAUUUCUAGUGUAGCGGUGAAAAUCGUAGAUAUUAGG